GCGGAGAUGAUCUUGGGGAGGGAUUUGACGAAGGUAUUAAAGGUAGCUGACUCGGUCUUUUAGCUGUCGAAUAUAAACCAUUGCGCAUCAAACUUUCUAAAGCCUUUAAUUUUCGAAGAGGGGGAGGGAGAGGAGGAGAAAGGUGUUGGCUCUGGCUACCAUAGAUGGCAGAGUGGCCGAGGUCAAGAGCUAUAAGGGACAAGGAAUUAGGAUCCUUUUAUUAUCCCUAAAACAGUUAGUGGAUUUGGAAGAAAUGGUAAGUUAGUCUUUUAAGCCCGUCUGUUAAAAGUGUGUGGGGUCAGAUAGACGAUCAAACCACAUUGACACACAAAAAAGAAUGAGGGACUAAUUGAAAAUUUCUAAAUUUUGUGGCUCAAACUAUUUCUCGCAUAAAAUUGAAGGUGUCUUGCUGUAUUUCUCCUCAUG
RNAcentral lists this long non-coding RNA (426 nucleotides) under Phoenix dactylifera (date palm). Its description in RNAcentral is "long non-coding RNA (PDAC_LNC013269)". Lineage: Eukaryota; Viridiplantae; Streptophyta; Magnoliopsida; Arecales; Arecaceae. The record is from RNAcentral.